Non-coding RNA from Parelaphostrongylus tenuis, 75 nucleotides. NCBI's taxonomy places the organism in Eukaryota, Metazoa, Nematoda, Chromadorea, Rhabditida, Metastrongylidae. The record is from the annotation of a GenBank genome assembly.
GCCUCUACGGUGCAGUGGUGGUAGCACGCGUCCCCGGCAUGGAUGAAACGCGGGUUCGACUCCCGCCUAAAGCCA